CGGAGCUUGCUCCACCGGAAAAAGAAGAGUGGCGAACGGGUGAGUAACACGUGGGUAACCUGCCCAUCAGAAGGGGAUAACACUUGGAAACAGGUGCUAAUACCGUAUAACAAUCGAAACCGCAUGGUUUUGAUUUGAAAGGCGCUUUCGGGUGUCGCUGAUGGAUGGACCCGCGGUGCAUUAGCUAGUUGGUGAGGUAACGGCUCACCAAGGCCACGAUGCAUAGCCGACCUGAGAGGGUGAUCGGCCACAUUGGGACUGAGACACGGCCCAAACUCCUACGGGAGGCAGCAGUAGGGAAUCUUCGGCAAUGGACGAAAGUCUGACCGAGCAACGCCGCGUGAGUGAAGAAGGUUUUCGGAUCGUAAAACUCUGUUGUUAGAGAAGAACAAGGAUGAGAGUAACUGUUCAUCCCUUGACGGUAUCUAACCAGAAAGCCACGGCUAACUACGUGCCAGCAGCCGCGGUAAUACGUAGGUGGCAAGCGUUGUCCGGAUUUAUUGGGCGUAAAGCGAGCGCAGGCGGUUUCUUAAGUCUGAUGUGAAAGCCCCCGGCUCAACCGGGGAGGGUCAUUGGAAACUGGGAGACUUGAGUGCAGAAGAGGAGAGUGGAAUUCCAUGUGUAGCGGUGAAAUGCGUAGAUAUAUGGAGGAACACCAGUGGCGAAGGCGGCUCUCUGGUCUGUAACUGACGCUGAGGCUCGAAAGCGUGGGGAGCAAACAGGAUUAGAUACCCUGGUAGUCCACGCCGUAAACGAUGAGUGCUAAGUGUUGGAGGGUUUCCGCCCUUCAGUGCUGCAGCUAACGCAUUAAGCACUCCGCCUGGGGAGUACGACCGCAAGGUUGAAACUCAAAGGAAUUGACGGGGGGCCCGCACAAGCGGUGGAGCAUGUGGUUUAAUUCGAAGCAACGCGAAGAACCUUACCAGGUCUUGACAUCCUUUGACCACUCUAGAGAUAGAGCUUCCCCUUCGGGGGCAAAGUGACAGGUGGUGCAUGGUUGUCGUCAGCUCGUGUCGUGAGAUGUUGGGUUAAGUCCCGCAACGAGCGCAACCCUUAUUGUUAGUUGCCAUCAUUCAGUUGGGCACUCUAGCAAGACUGCCGGUGACAAACCGGAGGAAGGUGGGGAUGACGUCAAAUCAUCAUGCCCCUUAUGACCUGGGCUACACACGUGCUACAAUGGGAAGUACAACGAGUCGCGAAGUCGCGAGGCUAAGCUAAUCUCUUAAAGCUUCUCUCAGUUCGGAUUGUAGGCUGCAACUCGCCUACAUGAAGCCGGAAUCGCUAGUAAUCGCGGAUCAGCACGCCGCGGUGAAUACGUUCCCGGGCCUUGUACACACCGCCCGUCACACCACGAGAGUUUGUAACACCCGAAGUCGGUGAGGU
This 1383-nucleotide ribosomal RNA is filed under the name Enterococcus durans. Its description in RNAcentral is "bacterial SSU rRNA". It matches the Rfam family "Bacterial small subunit ribosomal RNA", at positions 74 to 1436 of the family's 1533-position model. Lineage: Bacteria; Bacillati; Bacillota; Bacilli; Lactobacillales; Enterococcaceae. The record is from RNAcentral.